UCCUUUUUUUGUUUUUGUUUUUAGAGAUCAUGUGCAACUGGGGGAGGGGCAGAGAGAGGGAGAGAAUCCCAAGCAGGCUCCAUGCUGUCGGCGCUGAGCCUGUUGGGCUCCAUCCCAUGAAACGUGAGAACAUGAACUGAAACCGAGUCGAUGCCUGAACAACUGAACCCCCCUCCCCCCCAGGCUCCCCUAGGUUUCCUUUUACUCUAAUUUAUACAGUUGGAUGCUGUUACUCAUAGUAGCUUUGUUCUGGAAGUUCAUUAUGAACGCUGAAUCAGCAAGUGCUGAACCAUGGCUCCUGGGGAGAUCCCACGGAAGGUGCCUGUGAGUCUCUGGCCGCAACACUUGGCGUCAACCAAUCAAUAUGUAACUUUGUUUUAUGUCUCUCUGUUAAAGACCUCUUAAUACAUGUUGGUAAUUCAUUAAUCUUGAACUCAGGGCCAACAGCUGCAACACUUAAGUGAAGCUUGUCUAGUGCAUUUCCUCUGUAAGGCUUAGCAGCCUUCCUGCACUUAACACUAGCCAGCACUUCAGCACUAUGCUUAGGGGCAUUUCAGCACAAUCACCGACAGCACAAAGAUGGGAAAACUGUGGCGCAAAAUAGAGCCAAAGAAAAACACUGGUUUACAGUGCCAGAGCUGAGGCGCGGAGGCAGUGUCCCCUCUUUUGAUCUCAGCUGGGAACACGCACGUCAGACAAUUCAGAUCAUUGCACGUCUGCGGUGACGUGGGUUUGGGGUCACGAGCAAAUUUGCAACUGCAGACUCUAAUGAGGAUCCGCUGUGUGAUGUAAAUCGACCCUUUCAGUCCCGCUGUGCACAGACGCAGGUAGAUGGUUUGCCCAGCAGGGACCCUGUGGCCACAGUCCCACGCUGCCGGUUUCAGCAGCCUUGUGACUGGUCUGCUUCCGUUUCCUUCCUGUCCUUCAGUUCCCGGGACGGCAGCCACUGUGAUACCGCUUUGCUCGAGAUACCGCGGUGGCCGCCCUUCCUGCUCAGGUGUCCUGUGUCCAGCCCCACUGCUGCCCUCUCCUCCACCAGUGCGCCCUCCUCACACUGUGUGCGUCCGGGUGAGCCUGGCUGUCCCCUGAGAGACCAAGCCUCGUCCGCCCCAGGGCCUCUGUUCUUGCCAGUCCCUCUGCCUUGAGGAUACCCUUCCCUGGGAACGUCCGCAUAGCCUGCUCCCUCCUGUUCGAACGUCCUCCUCUUGGGUCUUGGGCUACGUCAGGAGCAGCCACUCCCCCACGCACUCCUCUCUCACCCUCCUGGGUGUUCCCCACGCCCUCGUCACCGUCCGGAGCGACUGCUUACAGUCCGUCUGCGCCGCUGGAAUGCAAGCUUCCGGAGCAGGGGCUUCGGCAGCUGCGUUCCGGUACCUGGAAGGGAAAUGGGCACGUAACUGUUAGGCUUCAAAUAAGGAUUGACGAAUGAGUGGUGGCCCUUGGUUCGCUGGAGUGAAAUCCUAAAAUGCACUCCUUUUCCAUCCAGAGCCGUGCAGCCAGCACCGGUCAGUUUCAGAACACUUUUGCGAACCCAAACAAGCCCCACACCGCUUUGUGGUCACCCCAGUCCUCCAGCCCCAGGCAGCCGCUGGUCUGCUCUCUGUGUGUGCACAUCGGCCUGUUGGGGACGUUUCAUGCGAUGCAGCUCUAGAAGCUGGUCUGCGGGCUUCUGGCAUCUUCCACGUGCUGUAGCGCUGCCAGGCUCACCGAUGCUGCGGCGAAUGUUGGAAAUCCACAGCUUACUAGAUAAGGGAAAUAAUAGCGGGAGUCUGUGUUUAUUAUUGCCGAAUAAAUGUCCCUCGUGUGAUUACA
Felis catus (domestic cat) is the source of this 1812-nucleotide long non-coding RNA. RefSeq lists it as uncharacterized. The transcript has 2 exons. The record is from RefSeq and is a predicted model, not a curated record. Lineage: Eukaryota; Metazoa; Chordata; Mammalia; Carnivora; Felidae.